RNAcentral lists this unclassified non-coding RNA (393 nucleotides) under Hevea brasiliensis (rubber tree). Lineage: Eukaryota; Viridiplantae; Streptophyta; Magnoliopsida; Malpighiales; Euphorbiaceae. The record is from RNAcentral.
AAAUUAAUGCCAUAGAAUAUAGGCAAGACAAAGUUAUGAAAGAAGCACUCUAUUGGCAAAGAAUGUGAUCUUGAUGUAAGUGAUUUAUAUUGUAUUUCUGGAUGUUCCGCUCCAACUUUUAUUUAUCUUGAAGAUAGCAGCAAUAUCUUCAGUGAUCUUUUAUUCAUCUACAACAGCUCUGGUUUUGAGCAACUAUGAGGAACAAAAUUGAGCAUCACCGGCUUCCAAGUGUAGCAGGCGGGAGUGGUUGAACAGCAGCAAGAGGAUUCACUUGAUAAGAGAAUGCAAGUUGCCAGAAGUCAACCAAAGCUUUCUUCGUAGAUGAAGCUUGUCUCUUAAGAACACUCCAUAAAGAGGCUUGUUUUCUCCGCACGAUAUAGUAAAAUAGUGCCG